UGGAUAGUGGCAGACGGGUGAGUAACGCGUGGGAAUCCACCCAGUAGUGGGGAAUAGCCGGCCGAAAGGUCGGGUAAUACCGCAUGUCCCCUUCGGGGAAAAGCCUUCGGGCGCUAUUGGAGGAGCCUACGUCCUAUCAGCUUGUUGGUGAGGUAAUAGCUCACCAAGGCUAUGACGGGUAUCCGGUGUGAGAGCACGACCGGACACAAGGUCACUGAGACACGGGGCCUACAUCUACGGAUGGCAGCAACCGGGAAUAUUGCGCAAUGGGCGAAAGCCUGACGCAGCGACACCGCGUGUGGGAAGAAGCUCUUCGGAGUGUAAACCACUGUGGCAGGGGAAGAAACAAAUGACGGUACCCUGCUAGAAAGCACCUGCUAACUACGUGCCAGAAGCCUCGGUAAUACGUAGGGUGCAAGCAUUAUCCGGAUUUACUGGGCGUAAAGAGUUCUGUCGGCGUUUGUGCAAGUUAUUUGUUUAAGCCUGGGGCCUAACUCCAGAUCAGCAAAUAAAACUACACGAAUUGAGUCUGUUCGGGGAAACUAGAAUUCUCGGUGGAGGGGUGAAAUCCGUUGAUAUCGAGAGGAAUACCAUUCGCGAAGGCGGGUUUCUAGGACAUGACUGACGCUCAGAGACGAAAGCUUGGGUA
This 649-nucleotide ribosomal RNA is filed under the name uncultured bacterium. RNAcentral's name for it is "bacterial SSU rRNA". It matches the Rfam family "Bacterial small subunit ribosomal RNA", at positions 89 to 767 of the family's 1533-position model. The record is from RNAcentral.